Molecule: non-coding RNA, 401 nt
Organism: Paramuricea clavata
Lineage: Eukaryota; Metazoa; Cnidaria; Anthozoa; Malacalcyonacea; Plexauridae
Source: the annotation of a GenBank genome assembly
AGGUUCCUGCCGGUGAGGACAAGGUUCCUGGCUGUGAGGACAAGGUUCCUGGCGGUGAGGACAAGGUUCCUGGUGGUGUGGACAAGGUUUCUGCCGGUAAGGACAAGGUUCCUGGCGGUGAGGACAAGGUUCCUGCCGGUGAGGACAAGGUUCCUGGCUGUGAGGACAAGGUUCCUGGCGGUGAGGACAAGGUUUCUGUCGGUGAGGACAAGGUUCCUGUCGGUGAGGACAAGGUUCCUGUCGGUGAGGACAAGGUUCGUGGCGGUGAGGACAAGGUUCCUGGCGGUGAGGACAAGGUUCCUGGCGGUGAGGACAAGGUUUCUGUCAGUGAGGACAAGGUUCCUGUCGGUGAGGACAAGGUUCCUGCCGGUGAGGACAAGGUUCCUGCCGGUGAGGACAAG